AGUCGAACGCGCAGCACUCUGUAGCAAUACAGGGUGUGGGCGCGUGGCGAACGGGUGCGUAACACGUGGAUAACCUUCCUUCAGGUGGGGAAUAACCCCGCGAAAGCGGGGCUAAUACCGCAUAACAAAACGAUGAGACAUCUUGUUGUUUUCAAAGGCGCAAGUCGCCAGAAGAGGGAUCCGCGGCCGAUUAGCUUGUUGGCGGGGUAAUGGCCCACCAAGGCAAUGAUCGGUAGCCGGACUGAGAGGUUGGCCGGCCACACUGGAACUGAGACACGGUCCAGACUCCUACGGGAGGCAGCAGUGGGGAAUCUUGCACAAUGGGCGAAAGCCUGAUGCAGCAACGCCGCGUGGGGGAUGAAGCUUCUCGGAGUGUAAACCCCUUUCGACCCGGAAGAAAGCCCGCAAGGGUUUGACGGUACGGGUAUAAGAAGCCCCGGCUAACUACGUGCCAGCAGCCGCGGUAAAACGUAGGGGGCCAGCGUUGCUCGGAAUUACUGGGCGUAAAGGGUCCGUAGGCGGUGUGGCAAGUCGGUAGUGAAAUCUCUGGGCUUAACCCAGAGGCUGCUGCCGAAACUGCCGUGCUAGAGUGUGAGAGAGGCGAGUGGAAUUACGGGUGUAGCGGUGAAAUGCGUAGAUAUCCGUAGGAACAUCCGAGGCGAAAGCGGCUCGCUGGAUCACAACUGACGCUGAGGGACGAAAGCUAGGGGAGCAAACAGGAUUAGAUACCCUGGUAGUCCUA
RNAcentral lists this ribosomal RNA (742 nucleotides) under uncultured Bacillota bacterium. RNAcentral's name for it is "bacterial SSU rRNA". It matches the Rfam family "Bacterial small subunit ribosomal RNA", at positions 60 to 798 of the family's 1533-position model. Lineage: Bacteria; Bacillati; Bacillota. The record is from RNAcentral.